UACAGUUUGUAAUUCUUAAGAAUUUGUUUACUCUUCCUCAAGCUAUACAGCUGUUCAAAAGAAAUAUAUCAUAGGUUGACUCCUUAUACAAACCUCAGCGCUAGUACAAAAUCCGAUUUAUCAAGAUGAGUCCAAAAGUUUACUAUACAUUCUGAAUAAUAAGAAGUGGUUUGAAUUAGUUUAUGUUUUAUUUAUGUUUAAAUCUGGUUUUACAAAAAUUAACAAUACUGCACAUCCCAUCAAAUAUAAACCAACAAAACAUUCUAGAGUGUUACAAAAAUAGUAUUGUAUAUAAAGUUUUUAUUUGGAAUAAAUAUUUUAUAACAAUUUAUGCAAAUAAAACUUUAUAAAAGAGAACUAUCUUUGGUAAUCAUGAGCAGUUUAAGGAACAAAAGAAUAAUUAUGCAUUGAAAAAUAUAAUUACAAUUUGAAGGUAUUAUAAACCUCAUCACACCAUGUACGGAACAUAGUAAUGUGGAGCCAAGAAGUAUAAGGAGAAGUUACCCCAGUCAAUAAAUAGGAGGAUAAAAGUAUUAUUUCAUCCCACUUUUUCCAAUUAAAUCUGAUAAAAAUGUAUAGCUUGAAAAGAAAAUUGUUAUUGUUGUAGAUCUAGGAUAAGUAUUAAAAUUUUCUUUAGUAAUUUGAUUUAAAAAAAAUCAAAUUAUUAUUUUGAAUUUCGUGAUUAUUUCAUUGUAUUAUGUAUAUUGUUAUUAAAUUAUCAAUU
Daktulosphaira vitifoliae (grape phylloxera) is the source of this 724-nucleotide long non-coding RNA. RefSeq lists it as uncharacterized. The record is from RefSeq and is a predicted model, not a curated record. Lineage: Eukaryota; Metazoa; Arthropoda; Insecta; Hemiptera; Phylloxeridae. The transcript has 3 exons.